UCCUGAAUGGUCCAAAAUGGCAUCUGUCAUUGAUGGAUUUUCCCAUUUUCGAAAUCACAGAUGCUAUCAAUCUAAACUAAAAUUUAAGUUGUUAUAGGUGUACAAUGCUAUUCAAAAUUAAAGCACUCUUAAGGUGAUUACUUAGAAGAUAUCAAGCAAUGCGAUGAAGUAGCAAUGGUGGCAUUUUAUGAAGAUUGCCGCAAACAGAAGAAUAAGAAAACCAUUAAUCUUCCCCAUGAAUCCUUUAUUCAGAACGCAGAUUUGAAAUUUCAUUAGUUCGGAUUUUAAAUUGCAGAUGCAAAUUUGUUUAUGCGAUACGAAAUAUGAAAGGAUUGAGUGAACCUUAAAACUGCAGUAACAAAAAAUAUAAUUAGAUUAUAUUCAGAUUAAAUUCGGCCAUUCAAUUCAGAUUAAACUGCUGAAAUUACCUGCUUCAGUAGGACCA
Long non-coding RNA from Dendroctonus ponderosae (mountain pine beetle), 445 nucleotides. RefSeq lists it as uncharacterized. The record is from RefSeq and is a predicted model, not a curated record. The transcript has 2 exons. Lineage: Eukaryota; Metazoa; Arthropoda; Insecta; Coleoptera; Curculionidae.